Molecule: long non-coding RNA, 305 nt
Organism: Thamnophis elegans (Western terrestrial garter snake)
Lineage: Eukaryota; Metazoa; Chordata; Lepidosauria; Squamata; Natricidae
Exons: 4
Source: RefSeq, a predicted model, not a curated record
GAAGCUGGGAUAGCUUAGGGAAAUAAGAUCGGGAGGGGCUGGAAGAGGAGUUAGAGACGCAGAGAAACAACCCGCGUUUUACUCUUACAACAACCCUGGCUGUCGCAUCGCACUUGCUGACCAGGUCCUCCAUUUCAACACCCUUCAUCUUCCAGAAGCUUGUUGCUUCCCUCAGUUCAGUCUUACCUGUCCUGCAGCCUCACUGCUUGCCUGUUCCCUGUUGCAUCCAUCAAUCGCAUCGGAGAGCUGCUGAUUCUGCCUGCUGGCAGUAUUACUUAGCAUAAUGAAGAAGAGGCAACAGAAUA